UCUGGGGCACUAUCACUUGGCCUUGGUUACGUAGGCUGGUUGGUUGUUAUAUUUCAUUAGAACGGGUGUACUUCUGCAUGCGUGUCUGUGCACACGAGCAUGCCUGAUGCCUUUGGAGGCCAGAGAAGCCAUCAGAUUCCCUGGAACUGAGGCUACAGGGGCCUUUGAGCUACCGUAUGGGUGCUGGGAAUCUCACCCUGGUCCUUUGGAAGAGCAGCUGGUGGUCUCAACUGCUCAGAGAGACACUGAUCACUCCAGAACUGUUCUGAACUUUUAAGAAUGUCUUUCCAGUGUCUACAGAGUCUAUUAACUGAGAAAAUGACUUUGCUUUCUGUAAAGGAAUACUUUCUUAGGUCGUAGUGACCUUUUAUACGACUGACUCAGCACCUGGACUCACUGAUAGUGGGCCCAAGGGAUAUUUACUGACUGCAUAGAGGAGUGGAAGCUUAGGUUUGAGCCACUUUUCAGUGUAGUCAGCUUAUGUAAUGGACGAUAAUUUCACAUCCUCCAUGUGUUUGAGGCCUGGGCUAUAGACUGAGAUCUCAUUUAUAAAAACUGGAGAAGAAAACCCCUGCUGAUUUAUAUAAAUGAAGAAACCCCGGACUCGAAAGGUAUCUUGUGCUGGAUACUGUCCAAAUGUGCAGACUUUGCUCACGUGAGAAAACUGGACUAGAAGAGGUGGAAAGAAGGGAAGCCAUCAGACAGGCACUGCCGCUUCUAAUUUAUAACGAUGCUAGUUUGUGGGGUUACACGGUGGCCCAGCAGUGAG
RNAcentral lists this long non-coding RNA (769 nucleotides) under Mus musculus (house mouse). Its description in RNAcentral is "ilncRNA-EC6". The record is from RNAcentral. Lineage: Eukaryota; Metazoa; Chordata; Mammalia; Rodentia; Muridae.